CUUAUGAAUGCAAGGAGAGCAGUUUUGCACUCCCCUGGACAUAAUCUGAAAUGGAAAUUUUGCCAAACCUAUACUGUGGACCUAACUGUUAUUUUU
This is a small nuclear RNA of Schistocerca gregaria, 96 nucleotides long. The record is from RefSeq and is a predicted model, not a curated record. NCBI's taxonomy places the organism in Eukaryota, Metazoa, Arthropoda, Insecta, Orthoptera, Acrididae.